Molecule: ribosomal RNA, 468 nt
Filed under: uncultured bacterium
Lineage: Bacteria
Description: partial 16S ribosomal RNA
Rfam family: Bacterial small subunit ribosomal RNA
Source: RNAcentral
GACGAACGCUGGCGGCGUGCUUAACACAUGCAAGUCGAACGGAAAGGCCCUGCUUUUGUUGGGUGCUCGUGUGGCGAACGGGUGAGUAACACGUGAGUAACCUGCCCUUGACUUUGGGAUAACUUCAGGAAACUGGGGCUAAUACCGGAUAUGAGCUCCUGCUGCAUGGUGGGGGUUGGAAAGUUUCGGCGGUUGGGGAUGGACUCGCGGCUUAUCAGCUUGUUGGUGGGGUAGUGGCUUUCCAAGGCUUUGACGGGUAGCCGGCCUGAGAGGGUGACCGGCGACAUUGGGACUGAGAUACGGCCCAGACUCCUACGGGAGGCAGCAGUGGGGAAUAUUGCACAAUGGGCGGAAGCCUGAUGCAGCAACGCCGCGUGCGGGAUGACGGCCUUCGGGUUGUAAACCGCUUUCGCCUGUGACGAAGCGUGAGUGACGGUAAUGGGUAAAGAAGCACCGGCUAACUACGUG